GGUGGCUCAGUGGUAGAGGGCUUGCCUUGCAUGCAAGAGGCCCUGGGUUCGAUUCCUCAGCACCA
Molecule: transfer RNA, 65 nt
Filed under: Dipodomys ordii (Ord's kangaroo rat)
Lineage: Eukaryota; Metazoa; Chordata; Mammalia; Rodentia; Heteromyidae
Rfam family: tRNA
About the family: Transfer RNA (tRNA) molecules are approximately 80 nucleotides in length. Their secondary structure includes four short double-helical elements and three loops (D, anti-codon, and T loops).
Source: Rfam by way of RNAcentral